This 403-nucleotide long non-coding RNA is filed under the name Lathyrus oleraceus (garden pea). Its description in RNAcentral is "Pisum sativum (pea) long non-coding RNA (PSAT_LNC014675)". Lineage: Eukaryota; Viridiplantae; Streptophyta; Magnoliopsida; Fabales; Fabaceae. The record is from RNAcentral.
UUACCCCCAGCUCAGCGGCUCAUGCUUGGGCCUUCUCGUUUUCUUCCUUGGGGAGUUCUCGGUUAGAAUUUAGUUUUGUUUGGUCUUAAUAUAGCAGUAAGCAAGUCAUGGUUUGGUGGAGGUGGAGAUAACCCUCUUCCUCUUUGGUCCUGGGUUUGAUACCCAGGUGUGUUUGUUUUGGUUUUUUUUUUUUUUAACAUUUUGGAUUUUCUCGCAUUUUCUUUAAUUCUCACAUUUGAUUAUAUGGUCUUACUACUUAACUAACAUGUUUCUAUUGUUUAUUCAUUAUUAUUUUUUUUUCAUUAUUAUUUUUAAUAUAACUUAGGUGAUUAUUCUUUCUUUACUCGUGCUUGCUACUUCGUUUGUACAAAUCAUUUAUUUUUAUGUGUGAGUUGUGUUUUAA